GUCUACGGCCACGGCGCCCUGAACACGCCCGAUCUCGGCCGAUCUCAGAAGCUAAGCAGGGUCGGGCCUGGUUAGGCUGAUCUCGGAAGCUAAGCCGGGUGGGGCCUGGUUCCUACUUGGAUGGGAGACCACCUGGGAAGAGCAGGUGCUGUAGGCG
RNAcentral lists this ribosomal RNA (157 nucleotides) under Pteropus alecto (black flying fox). Lineage: Eukaryota; Metazoa; Chordata; Mammalia; Chiroptera; Pteropodidae. The record is from RNAcentral.